GGUUUCUAUUACUAUUACUAUUUAGUUUUGACCAAAUCCCAAAAAAAUGAUAGAAAUUUACCAAAAGAGGUAUACUGUUUUUGUUUUUGGAAGAACUGAAGAGAAAAGGCCUUACAAUCAUUGCUGAAACAGCAUAGACCAAACCGAUAAGCUUUCAACAUUCUCUGAUUACACGAAAGCGAUUCAAAGAAAGACAAUUUGAAACGACGGAUACCCAAAUCAAUUCAAUCAAAAUCAUCAACAUAGAAGAAGAAGAAGGAGGAGGUGUAAGUCUUUUUCUUCCAUUACACUCCCAUGGCCGACGAUUUCAUUAUCCUUAUCCUCCGUACAAGAUUGACUACUAACGAGCUUUCGAUCUGCCAGCCCUAGCAUUUAAUCCAACUGGGAUUUCAAUCUAUGAUGCAGUGUACUUGGGAGUAGAAGACGUGGUACGGUGGGAGAAAUGGAACAAUCGAAGAUAUGGUUGUUAGAAGGUAAUUAGAAUAUGACUUCUCAAUUGGCUGUUCUGUUUCAGCCCAUAAUAUGUUUGCGGUAAUGCUUGACUGAAUUUACCCCCAUUGUUUUAGCAGAAAGAGUGUGAGUGUUGAAUAUGGUGGUUGGGGUUGAUAAUUUAAGUCAUUUUUAGCUUGCCCACUUAAGAAAAUAACAUCUCUCAAACUUAUAGAUUAAGCUAUUUGAUCAUUGGGCCGUGUUCAAGCUUCUACCUCUAAGUUUUUGUAAUUCUACUUCUUCUCUUCUUUCAUGUUUUAUUUUAAAGUUCACUUUCUAGUUUAAUCCUCUUCCAUUGGAAUGUUCUGCAAAUCAUCUAAUCAAAUCCACAAAUUGGCAUCCAA
This is a long non-coding RNA of Cucumis sativus (cucumber), 833 nucleotides long. RefSeq lists it as uncharacterized. The transcript has 2 exons. NCBI's taxonomy places the organism in Eukaryota, Viridiplantae, Streptophyta, Magnoliopsida, Cucurbitales, Cucurbitaceae. The record is from RefSeq and is a predicted model, not a curated record.